Molecule: non-coding RNA, 106 nt
Organism: Pelobates cultripes (western spadefoot toad)
Lineage: Eukaryota; Metazoa; Chordata; Amphibia; Anura; Pelobatidae
Source: the annotation of a GenBank genome assembly
AUAAUUUUGAUUACACCUGUAUACUAAAAUUGGAAUGAUACGGAGAUUAGCAUGGCACCUGCACAACAAGGAUGACAUGCAAAUUUGUGAAGCGAGUAAAAAAUAA